This 253-nucleotide ribosomal RNA is filed under the name uncultured bacterium. RNAcentral's name for it is "partial 16S ribosomal RNA". It matches the Rfam family "Bacterial small subunit ribosomal RNA", at positions 524 to 776 of the family's 1533-position model. The record is from RNAcentral.
UACGUAGGGGGCAAGCGUUGUCCGGAAUCAUUGGGCGUAAAGAGCGUGUAGGCGGCUUGGCAAGUCUGGUGUGAAAUCUUGCGGCUCAACCGCAAGCGGUCACUGGAAACUGCCUCGCUAGAGUCCGGAAGAGGAGAGCGGAAUUCCUGGUGUAGCGGUGGAAUGCGCAGAUAUCAGGAGGAACACCGGUGGCGAAGGCGGGUCUCUGGGCCGAUACUGACGCUGAGGAGCGAAAGCGUGGGGAGCGAACAGG